Molecule: long non-coding RNA, 2677 nt
Organism: Neopelma chrysocephalum (saffron-crested tyrant-manakin)
Lineage: Eukaryota; Metazoa; Chordata; Aves; Passeriformes; Pipridae
Exons: 2
Source: RefSeq, a predicted model, not a curated record
UCUUAACCAUCAAGCAUCCAGAAACUGAGCUUCAGACUGUACAUGUAUUUCUGUGAUGUGGUGAUCAUUCAUAAAUGUUGCAUUUGCCUAUCUCAAGCAGAGAUGCCAUUGCAAGUUAAAUUUGGGAUUAAUCUUGGGCAUCCAUGGGUCCCAAUACUUAAUUUAUACUGAAGUCAAGGACUCUAUAGUAGGACUUCAUCUCUUUAGCUGUCUUCAAAAAUUACCUUAUUGACUUUCUUGUUUAUUAAAGCUGGUAUCAGUAAUUGUGCACCUCUUCCAGUCUGCGAAAAGCAAAGUAACUUCCAUAAAGAAGCUUUAAAAGGAGCUUAUGUAGCUUCGUCAGGGAUACAAAAUGACUCAAUGAUGCUGGUACUUGUAAACUUUGUGUAAUAUAUAUGGAGCUGGCAGACACACCUUCUAUUUAAAGUUCCUUGAUGAUAACUAAAAAAUAAAGUAAAAAUCCUUACACUUUUGGGUAGCUUUAAAAUCUUGUUUUACUCAGAUAGACCAUGCCAGGUAUCUACUUUGAUUUGAAUUUGAACUUUCAACAAAAAAAGUUGAAAGGAAUGUUACAGGCAAAUACAUUAUUUUGCUGGAAUUUAAAACAAUUUUCCAAGUUUUUCAGUUACUCUAGUUCCUCCAUGCCUUUGAGUUAAGAGUGGGACUUUAGUAUUCUCCUGAGACCAGAAAUGUGCUGUUUGUCAUUAUUUUGACAGAUAAAUUCUCAUCAAGUGGUGAAAAUACCUGAAAUUUUUUUCUAGGUGUUGAUGUAUAUGCACUCGAAAGCAUGAGUGACUAUUGAUGAAAAUCUAGUUGUUAUGUCUUCCCUAAGGAGAACAUCCUUUGUGAUUGUUUCUCUGGGCUGGGAGCUGGUGCAGUAGCAUUGGGCUUGAGCACAGGGAGCGUCUCCCCAGUGCCACCCACCCCUCCUCUACCUUUGAGGCCCAGGACAGAUAAAGAAUGAGGAAACAGCCUAACAGAAGUUGCCAUGGAAGAAUAUUGGGCAGGGGUAGAAGGUGUCAGAAGAUGAGGAAAAGGGAAAUGAGCCUGGAAAAGAGUAGCAAAGUAGAAGCAUCUGUAAUGCUGCUGAUCUAUAGUUGACAGAAGAUAAUGUCUGGAAAGAAGAUAUUUUCUUCUGUUUAUAACAUGGAUCUUCAAUUUAAAAUGAGAACCAUGCUGUUCACCUGAAAUACAGAGUAGUGCUGGUGACCUAUUUGGAAGUGAAUAAUUCUUUAGGAUUUAGAAUAAUUACUGUUUUGCAACAAUAUGGUUUGUCUUGUAAAACCAAGUCUUAUAUACAGAUGUUAAGUUAUUGCAAAAUUAAAUAAUUGGAUACUAGGAAACAUCUGAAUGGUGGUAGAAGGGUGUUGUUUUGGGGCGUUUGAGUGUUUGUUUUCCAUUCAGACAGAAUUAAUCCUUCUCAAGUGAGCUGGUUUGUUAUUUUUUUUCCCCUUCUAAGUUAGUAUUACCUUGGCUUAUAAAAUGGGCCUUUUCUGGAGAUUAUAUUGAGAGUUAUUUGAAAGGAAAGAUGUAUUCAUGUGUCACUGAGGUGCAAAAUGAUAUAGCAGUUCAUGAAGAGGGUAAAAAAAGAUUUAAAUGCCUAUUAGCAGAACUGAGUUCUGUGUGAUGCUGAAUGAUUCAGGUAGACUAGAAUUUCAAAAGCUGAUGGCUGUGUAUUCACGUAUUCAGCAUAUCCUGCUAAUGAAACUCUGUUUAGCGCAGAGUUUGUUGAUGUAUGCAUACAUACCUUUGAGUACAUUUCAUUUGGGGAUAUAGUAAAUGUCCCUUUUGGGGGGCUAAACUUAUUUUGUAUUCUGAUUAUGGCAGGGAUCUCAUGGAAACAUAAUGUGAUUGUAUACUUACUUUAAUCUAGAGGGCAUAUCAAGGAGCAAAAUGAAGGUUACCACCAGCCCAGUUUCUGGUGUUUCCUGACACUUGAGUAAUUUACUUUGGAAUGUUAAUAUUUCUGUAAUAUAGUUAUAUGCAUUUAUUCCCUUAUGUAAUUAUGAAGGGCAUACCAGUGUGUGUAGUCUACAUUUUAUGACUAAUGCAGUAAUGCAUGCUGCAUAAUUACAGGCUGAUCUCUUGUCAUCUGUAGUCUGAACAGUGACACAGCAAGAAGUGCUUUAUGAAGAAGAACUAAUUAAUGCAGUGGUUCAGGUCAGACAGUUCUGCGAUACAGGAGGGAUUUCUAGAACCAUUGUAAAGUGAGAGAAUAGUAGUGCUUGUUGUUGACCAUAAUUGGUGAGGUAUCUGAAAACAAACUGCUGCUGCAAAAUUCUGUUAUCGGUGAUGUUGGGACAUUAGUUAAGAAUGACUGAGAGGAAGAAUUCCAUCUAUUGUUGGCAAAAUUGACAGCUUUUAUUUUCCUGGUAAUAGUGUCAACUCAUAUUGAUAAUCAUGAGAAUACUGCAAGACAUAAUUUUCAUUGAAACGUGUUUACCUCCCACAUUAAAACAUAUGUCUUUGGAGAGAGGACCUUUGAAAGACUAAGCGUAGAUUAAUGGCUGCUGGAUUUUACUUGAUUCAAGAGCUUUUCAAACGAUAGGUUGGGGUUUUGGUGGGGGUUUUUUGUUUGUUUUUUUUUAAAGCCUUUGUAACAAUGGUAUGAAUUUCAAGCCAAGCUUGCAUGUGAGCCAGAGUAACUGCAAAAUUUAUAAUAGGGUAUUUCUUCAAG